Paramisgurnus dabryanus is the source of this 1858-nucleotide long non-coding RNA. RefSeq lists it as uncharacterized. NCBI's taxonomy places the organism in Eukaryota, Metazoa, Chordata, Actinopteri, Cypriniformes, Cobitidae. The record is from RefSeq and is a predicted model, not a curated record.
UGCACAAAAGUAGAAUUAAGACAUCCAGGCUAAAUGGCUAAGCUGAGCUCAAUGAAGUCAAAACAAGUGCGUCCACGCUUAAUUGGUUGCACAAAGACCAAGCCAGGAUGAUCAGACACGGAUUCAUAAAGCCAGGUGAAACCAAUCCUGGAUAGGUGCGCGCUCACGGCUCACUCAACUAGACCCUGCCACCGAUCACAGAUUCACCGAUUCACCAUGGCAACUAGCGGCGUUCUUUUUCCCGUCAGAGGCACAAAUCCAUACGAGGAGGUAAAAGACAUAAUUAAGAAGAAAGGCAACACCGCCACAGUGGUAAAGCAGAGAGACAAAGCGUGGCAAAGUAUUGCAGACCGCCUGAAUGCAUUAAAUAUGACCGGGCCAAAACGGACAUGGCAGCAGGUCAAAAUCAAAAUCUGCAGAAUGCAGUGAAAAAGAAUACCCAGAGACAAGGCACGGGUGGUGGGUCACCAAAAGCUGACCUCAUCCCAGCAGAGGCCAGCUUUGGAGCUAAAUAAAGGCAGGCCUGUUGGAGGGAAUCCCUGGGGGAAAAAAGACAAGCAAAGGUCCCUCACAAGAUGCCACCCGCUUCAUACAAGGUAUGUUCUUCCAUCUCUACAUGGGACACAAUCACAUUCAUAUUGAAUCUAUUUGGACUGUCUGACUUUGGUUUGCCUAUUGCCUUGUAGUGUCUGGCAGCACUGUGUUACUGUUAAAGCCACCAGCACGAGCACCUGACGAUGCUGAUCCAGUGAGUACUCCAUCAAAGGCACACUGUAGGCCUGGCAUGUCUUGUCUACUAGCUUCAAUAUGAAUCCGAUUAAAUGUGAUGGGGUCAAGGCCCCAUUUCAUCAGCACAUAACGGCGAUGAUGAUGAGGAGACCAUCUCUCUGGAUUCCAAAAGGCAUAAGGACCCAGAGUCAUUGGUGCACUGGACUGCACAAACAUAAGGAUAAAAGCCCCCUCAUGUGCCCAUGAGGCAGAUUUUGUAAAUAUGAAAUCUUUUUGAUCUUUUCCAUUGAACACUGGCAAAAUGGCCUAGCUCAGUCCAUGACUCCAGAAUCUUUUGGACCUCUGAAAUCUAUCAGCGCCUAUCACAAGGUGAAUUCUCUGGUGUGUUGCUGGUAGACAGGGGGUAAGGCUGCCAGCCGUUUUUCCUGCCACCUUUCACAGACCCCCAGGAAGCACAGCAGGCCUACAACUAUGCCCAUGCUUAUAAUGUUAUAAGCAGAGUUGAAAUAACCUUUGGCCUCCUGAAGGCAGGCUCUCACUGCCUUCACAAAUUAAGGGUCAGCCCUGUGAGGGCAUGUGACAUUACUGUGGCUGGUGGUGUCCUCCACAAUGUGGCCUGCCUGAGGAAGGAGAGGGCACCCAGAGGGCACCCAGAGUGCCGCCAGCCAUGGAAUGGGACAAUCCGGAAAUCUUCCCUGAUGACAACAGUGGUUGGCUGCUGAGGGACCAAUAUGUGUUGAAUUAUUUUAGUCAGUAUGUGUGCUUUUCACAUUUUUUUGAUGUUUGUGCUGUAUACUGUGUGUAUACUGUUUGUAAUAAGCUUGCAGGGAGGCUACUGCAUCCAUUAAUUGUCUUGUUUUCAGUUGUCUGAAAUUGUCUGUUCAGUUAAUGUGUAUGAAUUUGUCCUGCAUUUAUUUCAGUGUGCAGACAUGCAGGGUGUGUUAUAUACAGACCUUUGAAUGUGUUUUUAUCCUUUGGUUGUAUAAUAUGCUUUGAUUCUGUGCUUUCCAUCUUGUAGAGUCACUGUGUGACUUCAGUUUCGAAAGGAGCUGAUGGUUUACCUGCUUUGGUUUGUCCUUAUUCAAUAAAGAAACAUUAUGUUACACUUUGUGCUUUUAUAUUUAUAUGA